GACUCUUAAAUUGUGGUACCGCUGCAUUUAUUAGAUUUAAGCCAACUUGUAAUUGGUGAUUCAUGAUAAAUUUGCGAAUCGCAGUGCCUUAAUUGGCGGCGAUGAAUCAUUCAAGUUUCUGCCCCAUCAGCUGUCGACGGUAAGGUAUUGGCUUACCGUGGCUUUCACGGGUGACGGAGAAUUAGGGUUUGAUUCCGGAGAGGACGCUUGAGAGACGGCGACCACAUCCAAGGAAGGCAGCAGGCGCGUAAAUUACCCAAUGGGGACUCCCCGAGGUAGUGACAAGAAAUACAAAUGAGGAGCGCUUUGCGUUUUUCAAUUUGAAUGAGAGAAUCGUACAAUCCUCAUCGAGGAUCAAUUGGAGGGCAAGUCUGGUGCCAGCAGCCGCGGUAACUCCAGCUCCAAUAGCAAAUAUUAGAGUUGUUGCAGUUAAAAAGCUCGUAGUUGAAUUUCCGGUAGUCGUUGUCCGCCCCAUGUGCAUGUAUUUGCGCGUUUGGUUUGGUUGUGACGAGGCAGCCGUCCUGGCGUAUCGUUAGAUGCGCCUCGUUUACUGUAAAAAAACUGGAGUGUUUCAAGCAUUUCUUGUGAAAAGAACAUAUUAGUAUGGAAUAAUAAGAUAGGACCUGUGUCUCUUAUUUUGUUGGUUUGUGAGUCAUGGUAAUGAUUAAUAGGGACAAUCGGGGGUAUUCGAAUUUAAUUGUCAGAGGUGAAAUUCUUGGAUUUAAGAAAGUCGAACUACUGCGAAGGCAUUUACCAAGGAUGUUUUCAUUAAUAAAGAACGAAAGUUAGGGGAUCGAAGAUGAUUAGAUACCAUCGUAGUCUUAACUGUAAACUAUGCCGACUUGCGAUUGUCCGUCGUCAGGAAUUCUUUCAUACGACAUGGGCAGCAGCACAUGAGAAAUCAAAGUUUUUGGGUUCCGAGGGGAGUAUGAUCGCAAGGUUGAAACUUAAAGGAAUUGACGGAAGGGCACCACCAGGAGUGGAGCCUGCGGCUUAAUUUGACCCAACACGGGAAAACUUACCAGGUCCAGACAAAGUAAGGAUUGACAGAUUGAGAGCUCUUUCUUGAUUCUUUGGGUGGUGGUGCAUGGCCGUUCUUAGUUGGUGGAGUGAUUUGUCUGGUUAAUUCCGUUAACGAACGAGACCUCAGCCUACUAAAUAGUGGGGUUGUAUUGCGAGAUAUACUGCCGCUUCUUAGAGGGACAUCCCC
This 1210-nucleotide ribosomal RNA is filed under the name metagenome. RNAcentral describes it as "SSU rRNA". It matches the Rfam family "Eukaryotic small subunit ribosomal RNA", at positions 184 to 1426 of the family's 1831-position model. The record is from RNAcentral.